Nylanderia fulva is the source of this 154-nucleotide long non-coding RNA. RefSeq lists it as uncharacterized. NCBI's taxonomy places the organism in Eukaryota, Metazoa, Arthropoda, Insecta, Hymenoptera, Formicidae. The record is from RefSeq and is a predicted model, not a curated record.
UAGAAAAUUUUAACGAAAUAAAACCAAAAAAUGUUAAUAUAAUUGCAGCAUUAAUUGUUAUGAUUAAUAACGUAUAUACCGCAAAUCGAACUGAGUCAAUAUUGAAAAAUGCUGCCAGUAUUGUAGAAACUAACUUAGUUGAAGUGGAUAAAAU